GGCUCCGUAGUUCAGGGGUUAGAGCACUGGUCUCGUAAACCAGGGGUCGUGAGUUCGAAUCUCACCGGAGCCU
This is a transfer RNA of Loxodonta africana (African savanna elephant), 73 nucleotides long. It matches the Rfam family "tRNA". From Rfam's summary of the family: Transfer RNA (tRNA) molecules are approximately 80 nucleotides in length. Their secondary structure includes four short double-helical elements and three loops (D, anti-codon, and T loops). The record is from Rfam. Lineage: Eukaryota; Metazoa; Chordata; Mammalia; Proboscidea; Elephantidae.